GGUCCGUCGGUCGACGUACGUCUACGAGAGUUAGUAGUAUCGUGUCAGAAUGAACGCUGGCGGCAUGGAUUAGGCAUGCAAGUCGAACGGGAUCCUUCGGGAUCCAGUGGCGGAAGGGUGAGUAACACGUGAGCAACCCGCCCCCAAGGCCGGAACAAGCGCUGGAAACGGCGUCUGAAACCGGAUGAGGACCUCCACCGCAUGGUGGGGCGUCCAAAUAUUCAUACCCUGGGGGAUGGGCUCGCGGCCCAUUAGCUUGUCGGCGGGGCGACGGCCCACCGAGGCGACGACGGGUAGGUGGUCUGAGAGGAUGGUCACCCACACUGGGACUGAGACACUGCCCAGACUCCUGCGGGAGGCUGCAGUCGAGAAUCUUCCGCAAUGGGCGCAAGCCUGACGGAGCGAUGCCGCGUGAGGGACGGAGGCCUUCGGGUCGUGAACCUCUGUCGCCCGGGACGAUGAUGACGGUACCGGGAAAGGAAGCCACGGCUAACCACGUGCCAGCAGCCGC
RNAcentral lists this ribosomal RNA (511 nucleotides) under uncultured bacterium. RNAcentral describes it as "bacterial SSU rRNA". It matches the Rfam family "Bacterial small subunit ribosomal RNA", at positions 1 to 518 of the family's 1533-position model. The record is from RNAcentral.